CGAACGGGUGAGUAAUGCGUGACCAACCUGCCCCAUGCUCCAGAAUAGCUCUUGGAAACGGGUGGUAAUGCUGGAUGCUCCAACUUGACGCAUGUCUUGUUGGGAAAGUGUUUAGUGGCAUGGGAUGGGGUCGCGUCCUAUCAGCUUGUAGGCGGGGUAAUGGCCCACCUAGGCUUCGACGGGUAGCCGGCCUGAGAGGGCGGACGGCCACAUUGGGACUGAGAUACGGCCCAGACUCCUACGGGAGGCAGCACG
This 255-nucleotide ribosomal RNA is filed under the name uncultured Gardnerella sp. RNAcentral describes it as "partial 16S ribosomal RNA". It matches the Rfam family "Bacterial small subunit ribosomal RNA", at positions 99 to 353 of the family's 1533-position model. Lineage: Bacteria; Bacillati; Actinomycetota; Actinomycetes; Bifidobacteriales; Bifidobacteriaceae. The record is from RNAcentral.